This 462-nucleotide ribosomal RNA is filed under the name uncultured Pelotomaculum sp. Its description in RNAcentral is "bacterial SSU rRNA". It matches the Rfam family "Bacterial small subunit ribosomal RNA", at positions 923 to 1382 of the family's 1533-position model. The record is from RNAcentral. Lineage: Bacteria; Bacillati; Bacillota; Clostridia; Eubacteriales; Desulfotomaculaceae.
GCACAAGCGGUGGAGCAUGUGGUUUAAUUCGACGCAACGCGAAGAACCUUACCAGGGCUUGACAUCCCCUGACCGCGUAUGAAAGUACGUUUUCACCCUCGGGUGACAGGGAGACAGGUGGUGCAUGGUUGUCGUCAGCUCGUGUCGUGAGAUGUUGGGUUAAGUCCCGCAACGAGCGCAACCCCUACGUUUAGUUGCUAACAGGUGAAGCUGAGCACUCUAGACGAACUGCCGUUGACAAAAACGGAGGAAGGUGGGAUGACGUCAAAUCAUCAUGCCCCUUAUGUUCUGGGCUACACACGUGCUACAAUGGCCGGUACAGACGGAGGCGAAGCCGCGAGGCGGAGCAAAUCCGAAAAAGCCGGUCUCAGUUCGGAUUGCAGGCUGCAAUUCGCCUGCAUGAAGUCGGAAUCGCUAGUAAUCGCAGGUCAGCAUACUGCGGUGAAUACGUUCCCGGGUCUU